AAGCGCUUGGUGUUAAAGCUACAGUUUGGCAACGUUGGGUGUCAGACUGUCUGUUCAUUGACAAGACAAAUAACUAAAUAGAAAAAUAAGAAAAUGUCGGCAUUGUCUGUCAAGGAUUUGAACCAAUUGUUAACUAUCUUAGAUGCCGAGAAUGUCGCUAAUCAAAGUGUCGAGGCCUUGGCAUCUCAGCUGGGGGUGUUUAAUAAACAAGAAUAUUUUAAAGUUGGUAACGCCUUAGUUAUGCUACUUCAGAAUGCAGAUCUGCUACCAUCAUCAUCACAGAGACUGGCUGCAGUGUUAUUGCUGCAUGAGCUUUUCAAGCCAGAUGCUCAAAAUUUCCAUCCAUUCUCCUCAGUUUUUGUACAGCUUCUUGCUGAAGAAUCUUUAUUAGCAAAGAGACCAGAGUCAUACAGACUACCAAAACUAAGUCCCCCAGAAAAGAUUUAUUUAUCACACCUCAUAACUAAUCCCCAGAAAGACAUGUACAAAAAAACUCUCCGACAAAUAUUGAAUUUGGAGACCACCAACUCAAUGGCUGAUAUUUCAGCCCUUCAAACAAGUGUAUCAGAACGGCUUUCAGAUUACACAUUAGCAAGCAAAAGUAGACUACCAGCUAUCCUCUCUAUGCCCGACGUCAGACCGGGCUUCGAUCCAGCACUUCCGGAUAGUAGCGCAAUCAAAAAGACGGCUGAAGCUCUUGUUAUGGGGCCCAACGCUGCUAUACAAGAGUCUGUGGGUCCCGAAUUUGUUCGACUGGCCCCUCCCCUCUUUUGCCCAGAUGAGCUCGUGUGGCUUGAUCCGAUAGGCGAAGCUGACCACACGAUCGCCUACGACACAACAGUUUGCAUACCUAGAGGGGCCGGCUCUGAAGCUCGUCGACUGAUUUCGCAAGCUUUCACCGGUUCUCUGACUCUGUUACAGCAGAACAGGCUACUAAGCGAAUUAGAGCGAGAUUCCCGUCUAGUCUAUCACGUGGGAAUAACCCCUAACAAACUACCUGCUCUAGUGGAAAACAAUCCACUCAUCGCAAUUGAGGUGCUUCUGCGACUAAUGCAGUCUUCUCAGAUAACAGAAUAUUUGAGCGUCCUGGUUAAUAUGGAAAUGUCACUGCAUUCGAUGGAAGUAGUCAAUCGGCUGACGACGGCUGUCGAGUUGCCAACUGAAUUUGUCCACUUAUACAUUUCCAAUUGCAUUUCAACGUGUGAAACUAUCAAAGACCGUUACAUGCAGAACCGUUUAGUCCGGCUAGUUUGCGUUUUCUUGCAGUCACUCAUUCGCAAUAAGAUCAUUAACGUUCAAGAGCUGUUUAUUGAAGUGCAAGCAUUUUGCAUAGGCUUCAGUCGCAUCCGCGAAGCAGCUGCCUUGUUUCGCCUGCUCAAACAACUCGACAGUGGUGAUCAAAGUGGCCUCAACACUACUUCAUCCAUCGCAUCUUUUCCCGGUCUGUCCUCACUCUCAGCCCCUUCGUUCAAUUCUCAGGCAUCACCCGUUGCAUCAGCUGCUAAAGGCAAAGGGGAAUGAAAUUGUUGUUAUUAGCAAUGACGCUCAAUCGUCUGUUCGCGUCAUAAAUGAUGUUGAAACGAAAGGCUUCGUACAGUAUAUGCUACAGAACAGAAGACUAGAGAUCGGAAAAGCAUUGAUAUAAACUUGUUUUCAUUGACAAAUACUAAUGCAUGUGAUGAGAAAGUACAGCGCUAUUAGCAGCCAU
Molecule: unclassified non-coding RNA, 1708 nt
Filed under: Daphnia magna
Lineage: Eukaryota; Metazoa; Arthropoda; Branchiopoda; Diplostraca; Daphniidae
Description: cCR4-NOT transcription complex subunit 11, transcript variant X1
Source: RNAcentral